UAGAUUUUUUUUUUUUUUUU
This 20-nucleotide microRNA is filed under the name Corchorus olitorius. Its description in RNAcentral is "bta-miR-23". Lineage: Eukaryota; Viridiplantae; Streptophyta; Magnoliopsida; Malvales; Malvaceae. The record is from RNAcentral. RNAcentral also lists the same sequence under 2 other names.